This 1026-nucleotide long non-coding RNA is filed under the name Canis lupus familiaris (dog). RNAcentral describes it as "lncRNA (ENSCAFG00000045897.2)". Lineage: Eukaryota; Metazoa; Chordata; Mammalia; Carnivora; Canidae. The record is from RNAcentral.
UUCAGCUGCCCACACAGGACCCCUGUAGGAGUGCUCAGUCCCUGCAGAACGGCUGACAUAGGCUCCCUGCCCUGGAGCCCGGCCACCCAUCCAUGUGGGCCCCCCCCCCCCACGACACCCAGGAUCGUGCUACAGGCCCCCAAGAUGCUGCUGCCUGGCUCCGGGCCCUGUGGCCUCCUGGGUGGUCAGGCUCCUGUGAGGGUGCCCCGUGCCCCUCUGGGGGUGCACUAGGGAGCCUGCCUAUGCCCUGUGCCCUCCUCCUGAGGGUGCCAACUCCCCACCCAGGGCCUUCUGCCCCACCUGUGGCGACUCAGCGAAGCCCUCCCUCCUCUGGGGCUAGCGCGCCUGACAUGGUCACCCACCAUCCCCAGUGAGGGGGGCCUGGCUGCAGCCUGGCAGUGCCCCGGCUGGGGCGGUGGGUGGGGGGGAGAGUGGAGAAGACACUGGGGACUGAGCACCCAUAUCCCCCACCUGAGCCACCAUGGCCACUCGGCCCUCUCCAUCCCUCCUGGGCCAGGCACACAGGGCCCCAGGAAGCACCUGCCGUUGCCCUGGGUGAAGUAGUGCAGGUGGGGGAGCUGCAUGUGCAAGGAGGCUCGAGGGCCUGGGCGCGGUGGCCUGGGCGCGGCUGGGUGACGGUCCCCCCCCAUGGUGCUGACUCGCUCACAGCAGCACUGUCCACCUCCACCCCUGCCGUCCAGCAAGGCCAGAGACUCCUGGAGGCCCCUUGGGGCCAGGGAGGCCACCCCCACUGGGCAGCCCUGCCCGAUUACAAAUGACAAUGUCACCAGCGCUGGUCAGAGGCUUUCCGGGUGCUGUGCUUCGUCGUUUGUAGCACCCGGCAGCCAGGGAAGCACGGGAGCAGGCACACAGCGUCUGGAAGGCUCUGCACACGUGCUCUUCUGCUCCUCGAAGGUCUUCGGAGGCUGCGAGCUGACUGCACAUAAACCACCACAGCCACCACGUUCCUGGGGGCACAGUCCACUUCCCUCCACGCCCGGCACACGGGGGAUGCAUCUGUGGUAA